GGCAGCACAGUAAGAGCUUGCUCUUAUGGGUGGCGAGUGGCGGACGGGUGAGGAAUACAUCGGAAUCUACUUUUUCGUGGGGGAUAACGUAGGGAAACUUACGCUAAUACCGCAUACGACCUUCGGGUGAAAGCAGGGGACCUUCGGGCCUUGCGCGAUUGAAUGAGCCGAUGUCGGAUUAGCUAGUUGGCGGGGUAAAGGCCCACCAAGGCGACGAUCCGUAGCUGGUCUGAGAGGAUGAUCAGCCACACUGGAACUGAGACACGGUCCAGACUCCUACGGGAGGCAGCAGUGGGGAAUAUUGGACAAUGGGCGCAAGCCUGAUCCAGCCAUACCGCGUGGGUGAAGAAGGCCUUCGGGUUGUAAAGCCCUUUUGUUGGGAAAGAAAU
RNAcentral lists this ribosomal RNA (389 nucleotides) under Stenotrophomonas sp. LR71. RNAcentral describes it as "bacterial SSU rRNA". It matches the Rfam family "Bacterial small subunit ribosomal RNA", at positions 65 to 451 of the family's 1533-position model. The record is from RNAcentral. Lineage: Bacteria; Pseudomonadati; Pseudomonadota; Gammaproteobacteria; Lysobacterales; Lysobacteraceae.